CAGUAGCCGCGGUAAUACGAAGGGUGCAAGCGUUACUCGGAAUUACUGGGCGUAAAGCGUGUGUAGGUGGUUGUUUAAGUCUGUCGUAAAAGCCCUGGGCUCAACCUGGGAAUUGCGAUGGAUACUGGGCGACUAGAGUGCGGUAGAGGAUAGUGGAAUUUCCGGUGUAGCAGUGAAAUGCGUAGAGAUCGGAAGGAACAUCUGUGGCGAAGGCGACUAUCUGGGCCAACACUGACACUGAGACACGAAAGCGGGGGAGCAAACAGGAUUAGAUACCCCGGUAGUCCCUGUCUCUUAUACA
This 301-nucleotide ribosomal RNA is filed under the name uncultured bacterium. RNAcentral's name for it is "partial 16S ribosomal RNA". It matches the Rfam family "Bacterial small subunit ribosomal RNA", at positions 509 to 808 of the family's 1533-position model. The record is from RNAcentral.